CGGGACUGGGUGAGUAACGCGUGAGGAACCUGCCUUUCGGAGGGGGACAACAGUUGGAAACGACUGCUAAUACCGCAUGAUACAUUUGGGCCGCAUGGUCUGAAUGUCAAAGAUUUAUCGCCGAAAGAUGGCCUCGCGUCUGAUUAGCUAGUUGGUGGGGUAACGGCCCACCAAGGCGACGAUCAGUAGCCGGACUGAGAGGUUGGCCGGCCACAUUGGGACUGAGAUACGGCCCAGACUCCUACGGGAGGCAGCAG
This 257-nucleotide ribosomal RNA is filed under the name uncultured bacterium. Its description in RNAcentral is "partial 16S ribosomal RNA". It matches the Rfam family "Bacterial small subunit ribosomal RNA", at positions 97 to 354 of the family's 1533-position model. The record is from RNAcentral.